This is a small nuclear RNA of Saimiri boliviensis boliviensis (Bolivian squirrel monkey), 109 nucleotides long. Lineage: Eukaryota; Metazoa; Chordata; Mammalia; Primates; Cebidae. The record is from Ensembl.
CUGAUUUAUUUAGCAGCACAUAUACUAAAAUUGGAAUAAUACAGAGAACAUUAUUAGCAUAGCCCUUGCACAAGGAUGAUAUGUAAAUCAUGAAAUAUUCCAUAUUUUU